Eptesicus fuscus (big brown bat) is the source of this 468-nucleotide long non-coding RNA. RefSeq lists it as uncharacterized. NCBI's taxonomy places the organism in Eukaryota, Metazoa, Chordata, Mammalia, Chiroptera, Vespertilionidae. The transcript is spliced from 2 exons. The record is from RefSeq and is a predicted model, not a curated record.
GGACGCUGCCCACCUGCCAGGGCCCCGCUGGCGCCCGGGCCUCUCCCUGCACACCCCCCGCAGCCGUCCUCAGCUGCAGCUCUGCAGGUGCGGGUGCUGGAAACCUCUCUUCUGGUCCCCCUGGCUUCUCCCAGGCCAGGCAGCUGCCCUCCAGUGUGCCCCAGGCAGGAAGGGGUGUAACUCCUACCCAGAUCAAGACAGAGGAUGGUUACAGCACUCCAGGAAUUUCCCCCUUCCCAUGAGUGCUCCCCCAGGGACCAGCGUAGGUGCGUUUCCUGUCUCCUUAAACGUCACGUAAUGGGAGACAGACAGUGGCGCUCAUCCAUGCUGUUGGGUGUAGCAGUUCAUUCUUUUCAUUGCCAUUAUUCCAUUUUAGGAAUAGAUCACUAUUUAUUUAUCCAUGCUGCUGUUGAUGGACAGCAUCAUUGUUUCAAGCUUGGGGGUUUAGUAAAGCUACAGUGAACAUUC